RNAcentral lists this ribosomal RNA (427 nucleotides) under uncultured bacterium. RNAcentral's name for it is "bacterial SSU rRNA". It matches the Rfam family "Bacterial small subunit ribosomal RNA", at positions 355 to 774 of the family's 1533-position model. The record is from RNAcentral.
UGGGGAAUUUUGGACAAUGGGCGCAACCCUGAUCCAGCCAUCCCGCGUGUGCGAUGAAGGCCUUCGGGUUGUAAAGCACUUUUGGCAGGGAAGAAACAGCCUGGGCUAAUAUCCCGGGCGACUGACGGUACCUGCAGAAUAAGCACCGGCUAACUACGUGCCAGCAGCCGCGGUAAUACGUAGGGUGCAAGCGUUAAUCGGAAUUACUGGGCGUAAAGCGUGCGCAGGCGGUUCGGAAAGAAAGGUGUGAAAUCCCAGGGCUUAACCUUGGAACUGCACUUUUAACUACCGGGCUAGAGUACGUCAGAGGGGGGUAGAAUUCCACGUGUAGCAGUGAAAUGCGUAGAGAUGUGGAGGAAUACCGAUGGCGAAGGCAGCCCCCUGGGAUGAUACUGACGCUCAUGCACGAAAGCGUGGGGAGCAAACA